GUUAUAUGGUCAAGUGAUGAAGCGCAGACGGUGGAUGCCUAGGCGGUAGGAGGCGAUGAAGGACGUAGUAGCUUGCGAAAAGCCUCGGGGAGCUGGCAAAUAAGCGUUGAUCCGGGGAUGUCCGAAUGGGGAAACCCACCUGUCGCAAGACGGGUAUCCUGCA
RNAcentral lists this ribosomal RNA (163 nucleotides) under Thiospirillum jenense. RNAcentral's name for it is "partial 23S ribosomal RNA". It matches the Rfam family "Bacterial large subunit ribosomal RNA", at positions 1 to 157 of the family's 2925-position model. Lineage: Bacteria; Pseudomonadati; Pseudomonadota; Gammaproteobacteria; Chromatiales; Chromatiaceae. The record is from RNAcentral.